UACGGAGGGUGCAAGCGUUAUCCGGAUUCACUGGGUUUAAAGGGUGCGUAGGUGGGCAGGUAAGUCCGUGGUGAAAUCCUAUAGCUUAACUAUAGAACUGCCAUGGAUACUAUUUGUCUUGAAUGUUGUGGAGGUAAGCGGAAUAUGUCAUGUAGCGGUGAAAUGCUUAGAUAUGACAUAGAACACCUAUUGCGAAGGCAGCUUACUACGCAAAUAUUGACACUGAGGCACGAAAGCGUGGGUAGCAAACAGG
Molecule: ribosomal RNA, 253 nt
Filed under: uncultured bacterium
Lineage: Bacteria
Also listed under: 1 other name
Description: partial 16S ribosomal RNA
Rfam family: Bacterial small subunit ribosomal RNA
Source: RNAcentral